CACUCAGUGGGUUAAAGAUCCAGUGUUGCCGUGAGCUGUGGUGUAGAUUGAAGACAAGGCUCAGAUCUCACAAUGCUGUGGCUGUGGUGUAGGCUGGCAACUGUAACUCCAAUUAGAUCCCUAGCCUGGGAACCUCCAUGUGCCGCGGGUGCGGCCCUAAAAAAAAAAAAAUUUUCAAGGUUCAUCCACAUUGUUGUAUGUAUCAGGAGUUAUUCCUUUUGGUUGCUGUAUGGUAUUCCAUUGUAUAGAUAUACCACAAUUUGUUUAUCCAUUUUCCUGUUGAUGAAUAUCCAUCUAGGUUGUUUACAUUAUUUGAAUAAAUAAAGCUGCCCUGAACAUUCAUGUACAAAUAUUUGUAUAGACAUAUGCUUUCUCUCUUUUUCUCUUUCUUUCUCCUUUCCUCCUUCCCUCCCUCCCCUCCACCCCUUCUUUCUUUCUUUCUCCCUUCCUUUCUUUCUUUCUUUUUCCUCUUGGCUAUGGCAGAGACCUGUGGAGGUUCCCUGGCCAGGAAUCUAACCCACACCAUAGCAGCAACCCAAGCCACUAUAGUGACAAUGCCUGAUCCUUAACCCUCUGAGCCUUGGGGGAACUUCUAUUUUCAUUUCUUUUGGAUAAAUACACAGGAAUGAAAUGGUUAAGUUUUAUGGCAAGUACAUGCAUAACUUAAAAAAAAAAUGGGGCAGGUGUUCCUACUGUGGCACUGUGGGUUAAGAAUUUGGCAUUGCUGCAGCUGAGGCAUAGGUCACACUUGCAACUUGGAUUGGAUCCCUGGCCUGGGAGCUUCUAUAUGCCAUGGGUGCAGCCUUAGGGAAAAAAAACGGAGCAGUUAAAAAGAAAAUCUCAUUUUUAGUUGUCAGGUCCACGUCCCAUGUCAGUAAUUCCAGUUUUUGUUUCUGUGGUUUAAUUGGAAAGAACACUACUUUAAGAGUCACAAGUUUGGGGCUUGGAUGGAGCAGUGUAGUUUCCAGACCUGGAUUUGGGAAAAGGUAGUCAGUCAUUCAGCUUCUGAGCUUCAGUUCCCCAAUGUUUAAAUUGGGGUUAAUAAUUUCCAUAACAAUAAAAAAUUGGAAGUAUUCUCAGAGUCCAUCAACAGGAGAUUGGUCAAGGAAAAUACAUUCCUAAGCUAGAAUACUAUGUAGCUAUUAAAAAUGAUGUAAAAUUAUAUUUAUUGAGAGUGUCCUCAUUGGCUCAGUAGGCUAAGGAUCUCAUGUUGUCACUGCAGUGGCUUGGGUCGCUGCUGUGGCAUGGAUUUGAUUCCUAGCCUGGGGACUUCUGUAUGCCAUGGGAAUGGCAAAAAAAUAAAUAAAUAAACUUCUUGGAACUGAAAGAAAUUUAGAUUAAAGCUCAGGGUUUCUCUCUUAGCUUUGGGCUUAAAUCCUGGCUUUCUUGGACACAUUAUUUAGUUUUACUUUCCAAAAUAAAAAAAAA
This 1428-nucleotide long non-coding RNA is filed under the name Sus scrofa (pig). Its description in RNAcentral is "lncRNA (ENSSSCG00015048063.1)". Lineage: Eukaryota; Metazoa; Chordata; Mammalia; Artiodactyla; Suidae. The record is from RNAcentral.